GSGGUAGAGUUWGAUCAUGGUWCAGGMMCGAACGYKGRCGGCGUKCCUAAUACAUGCAAGUCGAGCGGACAGAAGGGAGCUUGCUCCCGGAUGUUAGCGGCGGACGGGUGAGUAACACGUGGGUAACCUGCCUGUAMGASUGGGAUAACUCCGGGAAACCGGAGCUAAUACCGGAUAGUUCCUUGAACCGCAUGGUUCAAGGAUGAAAGACGGUUUCGGCUGUCACUUACAGAUGGACCCGCGGCGCAUUAGCUAGUUGGUGAGGUAACGGCUCACCAAGGCRACGAUGCGUAGCCGACCUGAGAGGGUGAUCGGCCACACUGGGACUGAGACACGGCCCAGACUCCUACGGGAGGCAGCAGUAGGGAAUCUUCCGCAAUGGACGAAAGUCUGACGGAGCAACGCCGCGUGAGUGAUGAAGGUUUUCGGAUCGUAAAGCUCUGUUGUUAGGGAAGAACAAGUGCAAGAGUAACUGCUUGCACCUUGACGGUACCUAACCAGAAAGCCACGGCUAACUACGUGCCAGCAGCCGCGGUAAUACGUAGGUGGCAAGCGUUGUCCGGAAUUAUUGGGCGUAAAGGGCUCGCAGGCGGUUUCUUAAGUCUGAUGUGAAAGCCCCCGGCUCAACCGGGGAGGGUCAUUGGAAACUGGGAAACUUGAGUGCAGAAGAGGAGAGUGGAAUUCCACGUGUAWCGGUGAAAUGCGUAGAGAUGUGGAGGAACACCAGUGGCGAAGGCGACUCUCUGGUCUGUAACUGACGCUGAGGAGCGAAAGCGUGGGGAGCGAACAGGAUUAGAUACCCUGGUAGUCCACGCCGUAAACGAUGAGUGCUAAGUGUUAGGGGGUUUCCGCCCCUUAGUGCUGCAGCUAACGCAUUAAGCAYUCCCGCYKGGAGU
Molecule: ribosomal RNA, 896 nt
Filed under: Bacillus sp. (in: firmicutes)
Lineage: Bacteria; Bacillati; Bacillota; Bacilli; Caryophanales; Bacillaceae
Description: bacterial SSU rRNA
Source: RNAcentral